AGACACAACUAUCGUUAUCUAACAAUACAGAUAAAUCCUAAAUAUAUUUGUAUCUAUCGCCAAUAAAGUUCCAUUUCUCUUAAGCCAAGAGUUGUGUUGUAUGUGCAGGAUGAAUGAUAGAAGCGAGAACUAGUUUGACAGCCGUAGAGCUUUGCCAGUUUACAUACAUGGAAUUAGAUUAAACAAAAGAAUACUCACUCUG
RNAcentral lists this long non-coding RNA (202 nucleotides) under Brassica rapa (field mustard). RNAcentral describes it as "long non-coding RNA (BRAP_LNC004232)". Lineage: Eukaryota; Viridiplantae; Streptophyta; Magnoliopsida; Brassicales; Brassicaceae. The record is from RNAcentral.